This is a non-coding RNA of Chinchilla lanigera (long-tailed chinchilla), 627 nucleotides long. Lineage: Eukaryota; Metazoa; Chordata; Mammalia; Rodentia; Chinchillidae. The record is from the annotation of a RefSeq genome assembly.
CCCCAAGCUGGGCUGAUUUACAUAGUGGGCAGCUCUCUCCAGCAAGGGGAUAAGAGAGGCCUGGGGGGAAGCCACCCAGCCUUGGCCUCAGGAAGGAGCAUUCAGGGCACCUCUGCCAUGGCCUGGACCACGCUCUUCAUUGGCCUCCUUGCUCACUGCACAGGCUCUGUGGCCUCCUACGUGCUGACGCAGCCAUCCUCAGUGUCAGUGACUCCAGGACAGACAGCCAGGAUGACCUGCGAGGGAAACAACAUUGGAAGUAGAAAUGUGCAGUGGUACCAGCAGAAGCCAGGCCAGGCCCCUGUGCUGGUCAUAUAUGCUGAUAAGAACCGGCCCUCCGGGAUUCCUGACCGAUUCUCUGGUGCCAACUCUGGGAACACGGCCACACUGACCAUCACUGGUGCCCAGGCUGAGGACGAGGCUGACUAUUACUGUCAGGUGUGGGAUAGUAAUGAUGCUCACAGUGAAACAGACACAUGGGGAAGUGAGACACAAACCCACCACCCGCCUUGCUCCCACGGCCCCUCCCUGUCCUGGCAACAGAGACAAGACAGAGGCUGCCACAUAGAGACAAAGUUUCUAGCCUGCCCAGCUGGGACACCAGAUUCCUGAAAUAAGGGGGCAGGG